Molecule: transfer RNA, 76 nt
Filed under: Camelus bactrianus (Bactrian camel)
Lineage: Eukaryota; Metazoa; Chordata; Mammalia; Artiodactyla; Camelidae
Also listed under: 1 other name
Rfam family: tRNA
About the family: Transfer RNA (tRNA) molecules are approximately 80 nucleotides in length. Their secondary structure includes four short double-helical elements and three loops (D, anti-codon, and T loops).
Source: Rfam by way of RNAcentral
GAGGAUAUAGCUCAGCGGUAGAGCACAUGCUUAGUUAGCAUGCAUGAGGUCCUGGGUUCAAUCCUGAGUACCUUCA